UACGUAGGGUGCAAGCGUUGUCCGGAAUUAUUGGGCGUAAAGAGCUCGUAGGCGGCUUUGUCGCGUCGGCUGUGAAAACCUGGGGCUCAACCCGGGCCUGCAGCCGAUACGGGCAAGCUAGAAUUCGGUAGGGGAGACUGGAAUUCCUGGUGUAGCGGUGAAAUGCGUAGAUAUCGGAAGGAACAUCAGUGGCGAAAGCGGCUUCCUGGACCAGUACCGACGUCAGGCACGAAAGCGUGGGGAGCAAACAGG
This 252-nucleotide ribosomal RNA is filed under the name uncultured bacterium. Its description in RNAcentral is "partial 16S ribosomal RNA". It matches the Rfam family "Bacterial small subunit ribosomal RNA", at positions 524 to 776 of the family's 1533-position model. The record is from RNAcentral.